Molecule: ribosomal RNA, 500 nt
Filed under: uncultured bacterium
Lineage: Bacteria
Description: partial 16S ribosomal RNA
Rfam family: Bacterial small subunit ribosomal RNA
Source: RNAcentral
AUUGAACGCUGGCGGAAUGCUUUACACAUGCAAGUCGAACGGCAGCACGGACUUCGGUCUGGUGGCGAGUGGCGAACGGGUGAGUAAUGUAUCGGAACGUGCCCAGUCGUGGGGGAUAACGUAGUGAAAAUUACGCUAAUACCGCAUACGAUCUAUGGAUAAAAGCGGGGGAUCGCAAGACCUCGCGCGAUUGGAGCGGCAGAUAUCAGAUUAGGUAGUUGGUGGGGUAAAGGCCCACCAAGCCAACGAUCUGUAGCUGGUCUGAGAGGACGACCAGCCACACUGGAACUGAGACACGGUCCAGACUCCUACGGGAGGCAGCAGUGGGGAAUUUUGGACAAUGGACGAAAGCCUGAUCCAGCCAUUCCGCGUGCAGGAUGAAGGCCCUCGGGUUGUAAACUGCUUUUGUACAGAACGAAAAGGUUUCUACUAAUACUAGGAGCUCAUGACGGUACUGUAAGAAUAAGCACCGGCUAACCACGUGCCAGCAGCCGCGGUAA